GUCGUCAUUGAAAAAAUGUUUGAAUAUUCAAGUCCACAAGGCACCCUUUAUGUCGUCAUUAUCACUAUCAGUAAUUCAGUAUAACAUAAAAAUUCCUUCCCCUCCAACUACUUUUAGUUGCAGAAGUUCUAUGAGGGGGAUGAUGUAGCUUCAAUAUCUAUCACUGUUGCUACUUGCUGCAAACUACCUGAAAUAAAUACCGAAUACAAGCAAUCUAGAAAAUGUAUCAUCAUUAAGACAAUGUCAACCUAACCUCAGC
RNAcentral lists this unclassified non-coding RNA (259 nucleotides) under Hevea brasiliensis (rubber tree). Lineage: Eukaryota; Viridiplantae; Streptophyta; Magnoliopsida; Malpighiales; Euphorbiaceae. The record is from RNAcentral.